RNAcentral lists this ribosomal RNA (433 nucleotides) under uncultured bacterium. Its description in RNAcentral is "partial 16S ribosomal RNA". The stretch from base 45 to 433 matches the Rfam family "Bacterial small subunit ribosomal RNA", at positions 39 to 507 of the family's 1533-position model. The record is from RNAcentral.
GGGGGGGGGGGGGGGGGGGGGGGGGGGGGGGGGGGGGGGGGGGGGCGGCGGGGGUGGGGGGGCGCGGGUGGGGGGGGCGUGGGGACCGGCCCGUGGGUGCGGAGUGACUGCCCGAGAGGGGUGGUAGUACCGGAUGAUGGCUGCGGACCAAGGAUUUAGCGCCUUUGGAUGGGCCCGCGUUGGAUUAGCUAGUUGUGAGGGUAAAAGCCUACCAAGGCGACGAUCCAUAGCUGGUCUGAGAGGAGGAUCAGCAACACGGGGACUGAGACACGGCCCAGACUCCGACGGGAGGCAGCAGUGGGGAAUAGUGGACAAUGGGCGAAAGCCUGAUCCAGCAAUGCCGCGUGAGUGAUGAAGGCCUUAGGGUUGUAAAGCGCUUGUACCCGGGAUGAUAAUGACAGUACCGGGAGAAUAAGCUCCGGCUAACUCCGUG